AGCAGCCGCGGUAAUUCCAGCUCCAAUAGCGUAUAUUAAAGUUGUUGCAGUUAAAAAGCUCGUAGUUGAAUUUCGGGGUUAGUAGGUUGGUCAUGCCUCCGGUAUGUACUGGUCUCACUGAUUCCUCCUUCCUGAUGAGCCGUAAUGCCAUUAAUUUGGUGUUGCGGGGAAUUUGGACUGUUACUUUGAAAAGAUUAGAGUGUUUAAAGCAGGCAUUUUUGCUUGAAUACAUUAGCAUGGAAUAAUAAAAUAGGACGGCAUGGUUCUAUUUUGUUGGUUUCUAGGACCACCGUAAUGAUUAAUAGGGAUAGUUGGGGGCAUUAGUAUUCAAUUGUCAGAGGUGAAAUUCUUGGAUUUAUUGAAGACUAACUACUGCGAAAGCAAUUUGCCAAGGAUGUUUUCAUUAAUCAAGAACGAAAGUUAGGGGAUCGAAGACGAUCAGAUACCGUCGUAGUCUUAACCAUAAAUUAUGCCGACUA
RNAcentral lists this ribosomal RNA (479 nucleotides) under uncultured Glomus. Its description in RNAcentral is "SSU rRNA". It matches the Rfam family "Eukaryotic small subunit ribosomal RNA", at positions 569 to 1048 of the family's 1831-position model. Lineage: Eukaryota; Fungi; Glomeromycota; Glomeromycetes; Glomerales; Glomeraceae. The record is from RNAcentral.